UGCACUCACUACUGUAAGUCGCUCUGGAUAAGAGUGUAUGCUAAAUUACUAAAA
This is a non-coding RNA of Salmo salar (Atlantic salmon), 54 nucleotides long. Lineage: Eukaryota; Metazoa; Chordata; Actinopteri; Salmoniformes; Salmonidae. The record is from Rfam.